RNAcentral lists this ribosomal RNA (254 nucleotides) under uncultured bacterium. RNAcentral describes it as "partial 16S ribosomal RNA". It matches the Rfam family "Bacterial small subunit ribosomal RNA", at positions 524 to 776 of the family's 1533-position model. The record is from RNAcentral.
UACGGGGGGAGCAAGCGUUGUUCGGAUUUACUGGGCGUAAAGGGCGCGUAGGCGGUCGUGACAAGUCACUUGUGAAAUCUCCGGGCUUAACUCGGAAAGGUCAAGUGAUACUGUCGGACUAGAGUACAGAAGGGGCAACUGGAAUUCUCGGUGUAGCGGUGAAAUGCGUAGAUAUCGAGAGGAACACCUGCGGCGAAGGCGGGUUGCUGGGCUGACACUGACGCUGAGGCGCGAAAGCUAGGGGAGCGAACGGG